This 208-nucleotide ribosomal RNA is filed under the name uncultured bacterium. RNAcentral's name for it is "partial 16S ribosomal RNA". It matches the Rfam family "Bacterial small subunit ribosomal RNA", at positions 568 to 775 of the family's 1533-position model. The record is from RNAcentral.
CGCGUAGGCUGUUUACCAAGUCCGGGGUGAAAUCUUUCGGCUUAACCGGAAAAGUGCCUUGGAUACUGGUGAACUCGAGGGAGGUAGGGGCAUGUGGAACUUCCGGUGGAGCGGUGAAAUGCGUUGAUAUCGGAAGGAACGCCGGUGGCGAAAGCGACGUGCUGGCCCUCUUCUGACGCUGAGGCGCGAAAGCUAGGGGAGCAAACGG